UUUUGGAAGUUUGUCCUUACG
This 21-nucleotide microRNA is filed under the name Oryza sativa (Asian cultivated rice). Its description in RNAcentral is "osa-miR426". Its record names the gene osa-miR426. Lineage: Eukaryota; Viridiplantae; Streptophyta; Magnoliopsida; Poales; Poaceae. The record is from miRBase by way of RNAcentral.